RNAcentral lists this ribosomal RNA (477 nucleotides) under uncultured bacterium. Its description in RNAcentral is "partial 16S ribosomal RNA". It matches the Rfam family "Bacterial small subunit ribosomal RNA", at positions 28 to 507 of the family's 1533-position model. The record is from RNAcentral.
GAUGAACGCUGGCGGCGUGCCUAAUACAUGCAAGUCGAGCGAACGGACGAGCAGCUUGCUUUUCUGAUGUUAGCGGCGGACGGGUGAGUAACACGUGGAUAACCUACCUAUAAGACUGGGAUAACUUCGGGAAACCGGAGCUAAUACCGGAUAAUAUUUUGAACCGCAUGGUUCGAAAGUGAAAGACGGUCUUGCUGUCACUUUUAGAUGGAUCCGCGCUGCAUUAGCUAGUUGGUAAGGUAACGGCUUACCAAGGCAACGAUGGGUAGCCGACCUGAGAGGGUCGACGGCGACGUUGGGAAUGAGAUAGGGGCGAGACUCCUACGGGAGGCAGCAGUGGGGAAUAUUGCACAAUGGGAGGAAGCCUGAUGCAGAGACGCCGGGUGGGGGAUGACGGCCUUCGGGAUGUAAACAUAUUUCGACAGGGACGAAGCUUCGGUGACGGUACCUGUAUAAGAAGCCCCGGCUAACUACGUG